RNAcentral lists this ribosomal RNA (1579 nucleotides) under Alyxoria varia. RNAcentral's name for it is "partial large subunit ribosomal RNA". It matches the Rfam family "Eukaryotic large subunit ribosomal RNA", at positions 177 to 1305 of the family's 3401-position model. Lineage: Eukaryota; Fungi; Ascomycota; Arthoniomycetes; Arthoniales; Lecanographaceae. The record is from RNAcentral.
CGGGUCAAGUCCCUUGGAACAGGGCGCCACUGAGGGUGAGAGCCCCGUAUCCGCCCGGACCGCCAUCGCCGCCGGAAGCCCCUUCGACGAGUCGGGCUGUUUGGGAAUGCAGCUCCAAGCGGGAGGUAAAUUCCUUCUAAGGCUAAAUACCGGCCGGAGACCGAUAGCGCACAAGUAGAGUGAUCGAAAGAUGAAAAGCACUUUGGAAAGAGAGUCAAACAGCACGUGAAAUUGUUGAAAGGGAAGCUCUUGCCGCCAGACCGGCCGCGGUCGUCGCAGCCGCGCUCCCACGCGCGGCGUAUCCGUCCGCGGUAGGCCAGCGCCGGUUCGGGCGGUCGCAUAAAGGCCCCGGGAACGUGGCCCCCUGCGGGGGGUGUUAUAGCCCGGGGUGCAAUGCGGCCAGCCCGGACCGAGGCACGCGUUCGCUAGGGCGCUGGCGUAAUGGCCGCAAGCGACCCGUCUUGAAACACGGACCAGAGUUAACAAACGCUAACGCGAAGCUGCUGCAGAGGAGUCUAACAUCUGUGCGAGUGUUUGGGCGAAUAAACCCAUACGCGUAAUGAAAGUGAACGGAGGUGGGAACCCUCUAACGGGGGCGCACCAUCGACCGAUCCUGAUGUCUUCGGAUGGAUUUGAGUAAGAGCAUUUAUGUUGGGACCCGAAAGAUGGUGAACUAUACUUGGAUAGGGUGAAGCCAGAGGAAACUCUGGUGGAGGCUCGCAGCGGUUCUGACGUGCAAAUCGAUCGUCAAAUCUGAGCAUAGGGGCGAAAGACCAAUCGAACCAUUGCAGACCAUGGCGUGGGCGCUCGAACGAGCCCCGCGGCCGGUGCAGCUACUAGGUGGUUAAGAGAGUGCCGAGGACGGUGUUCGCGGCGCUCUAACCGACGUUCCCGGAGAAAUCCUGGGCGCGACGGCAAUGUGGCCAACGUGCGGGAAAGUCCCCCAGGGAGCUAGCGCGAUACCGCCGCUAGGGGCCUUUUCACAAAGAGAGGCACCUGCGGCACCGGGCCUUGCCAGGUCCGGGUAGGGUCAUAACUCGCCGUUCCCGUCGCAAAUCGGGGACAACCUGCAGCCGUCAUAUGGCCUCGCCCACCGCGAGGACCGGGCGGUUCACAGACUAGACGGCCAUAGGCGGCGAAAGCGCCGUUCAAGAUAUAGUCGGGCGGAUCCACCGACAAACAGCGGUGCGAUCGAUGGCAGGCAGUGGAACCCAAGCCGCUAGUAGCUGGUUCCUGCCGAAGUUUCCCUCAGGAUAGCAGUAACGCCUUCAGUUUUAUGAGGUAAAGCGAAUGAUUAGAGGCCUUGGGGUUGAAACAACCUUAACCUAUUCUCAAACUUUAAAUAUGUAAGAAGCCCUUGUUGCUUAGGUGAACGUGGGCCUUCGAAUGUACCGUUACUAGUGGGCCAUUUUUGGUAAGCAGAACUGGCGAUGCGGGAUGAACCGAAAGCGGGGUUAAGGUGCCGGAGUGGACGCUCAUCAGACACCACAAAAAGUGUUAGUUCAUCUAGACAGCAGGACGGUGGCCAUGGAAGUCGGAACCCGCUAAGGAUCGUGUAACAACUCACCUGCCGAAUGAA